Non-coding RNA from Caenorhabditis japonica, 121 nucleotides. The record is from Rfam. Lineage: Eukaryota; Metazoa; Nematoda; Chromadorea; Rhabditida; Rhabditidae.
GCUUACGACCAUAUCACGUUGAAUACACGCCAUCCCGUCCGAUCUGGCAAGUUAAGCAACGUUGAGUCCAGUUAGUACACAGGUAAAACGGCAUGGCUGAAUGGUGGUUCACUGGUGCGCC